Long non-coding RNA from Haliotis rubra (blacklip abalone), 422 nucleotides. RefSeq lists it as uncharacterized. The record is from RefSeq and is a predicted model, not a curated record. The transcript is spliced from 3 exons. NCBI's taxonomy places the organism in Eukaryota, Metazoa, Mollusca, Gastropoda, Lepetellida, Haliotidae.
CAUGUGACUGUAAGGGCAACACUGUUGAGGUGAGUCUCAUCUCUUACCAUGUGACUGUAAGGGCACCACUGUUGAGGUGAGUCUCAUCUCUUGCCAUGUGACUGUAAGGGCAACACUGUUGAGGUGAGUCUCAUCUCUUGCCAUGUGACUGUAAGGGUAACACUGUUGAGGUGAGUCUCAUCUCUUGUCAUGUGACUGUAAGGGCAACACUGUUGUGGUGAGUCUCAUCUCUUGCCAUGUGACUGUAAGGGUAACACUGUUGAGGUGAGUCUCAUCUCUUACCAUGUGACUGUAAGGGCACCACUGUUGAGGUGAGUCUCAUCUCUUGCCAUGUUACUGUAUGCCAACACUGUUGAGGUGAGUCUCAACUCUUGCCAUGUGACUGUAAGGGCAACACUGUUGUGGUGAGUCAUCUCUUGCCA